RNAcentral lists this ribosomal RNA (555 nucleotides) under Thioploca sp. Its description in RNAcentral is "bacterial SSU rRNA". It matches the Rfam family "Bacterial small subunit ribosomal RNA", at positions 1 to 547 of the family's 1533-position model. The record is from RNAcentral. Lineage: Bacteria; Pseudomonadati; Pseudomonadota; Gammaproteobacteria; Thiotrichales; Thiotrichaceae.
GAACUGAAGAGUUUGAUCAUGGCUCAGAUUGAACGCUGGCGGCAUGCUUAAUACAUGCAAGUCGAACGGUAACAGGUUCUUCGGAAUGCUGACGAGUGGCGGACGGGUGAGUAAAGCAUAGGAAUCUGCCCAUGUAGUGGGGGAUAACUUGGGGAAACUCAAGCUAAUACCGCAUAAUUCCCACGGGAUAAAGAGGGCCUCUACUUGUAAGCUCUUGCUAUUGGAUGAGCCUAUGUCGGAUUAGUUAGUUGGUGAGGUAAUGGCUCACCAAGACAGCGAUCCGUAGCUGGUUUGAGAGGAUGAUCAGCCACACUGGGACUGAGACACGGCCCAGACUCCUACGGGAGGCAGCAGUAGGGAGUAUUGGACAAUGGGCGCAAGCCUGAUCCAGCAAUGCCGCGUGUGUGAAGAAGGCCUGCGGGUUGUAAAGCACUUUCAAUUGGGAAGAAAGAUUUAGAGUUAAUAUCUCUUAAAUAUUGACGUUACCAAUAGAAGAAGCACCGGCUAACUCUGUGCCAGCAGCCGCGGUAAUACAGAGGGUGCGAGCGUUAAUCG